AGGUCUUGCCUGCCCAGUGAUAAAUUAAACGGCCGCGGUAUUUUGACCGUGCGAAGGUAGCGCAAUCACUUGUCUUUUAAAUGAAGACCUGUAUGAAUGGCGGAACGAGGGCUUAACUGUCUCCCUUCUCUAGUCAAUGAAAUUGAUCUGUCCGUGCAGAAGCGGACAUAUAUAUACAAGACGAGAAGACCCUUUGGAGCUUAAGAUACAAGAUCAACCACGUCAAGAACAUAAAAGAAGUCAAACUAAGUGACACCUGAUCUCUAUCUUCGGUUGGGGCGACCACGGGAGAAAACAAAGCUCCCACGCGGACUGGGAUUAAAAUCCUAAAACUAAGAAAGACACUUCUAAGUAACAGAAUAUCUGACCAUUAAGAUCCGGCUAAAUGCCGAUCAACGAACCAAGUUACCCUAGGGAUAACAGCGCAAUCCCCUUUCAGAGUCCAUAUCGACAAGGGGGUUUACGACCUCGAUGUUGGAUCAGGACAUCCUAAUGGUGCAGCCGCUAUUAAGGGUUCGUUUGUUCAACGAUUAAAGUCCUACGUG
Molecule: ribosomal RNA, 545 nt
Filed under: Balroglanis schultzi
Lineage: Eukaryota; Metazoa; Chordata; Actinopteri; Siluriformes; Auchenipteridae
Description: partial large subunit ribosomal RNA
Rfam family: Bacterial large subunit ribosomal RNA
Source: RNAcentral